This 445-nucleotide long non-coding RNA is filed under the name Vigna radiata. Its description in RNAcentral is "long non-coding RNA (VRAD_LNC000904)". The record is from RNAcentral. Lineage: Eukaryota; Viridiplantae; Streptophyta; Magnoliopsida; Fabales; Fabaceae.
AGGGUGUUACAAAGUCAGCAAAGAAGAAGGCAUACACAGCAGCUUCCAUUUUAAUGAUGUAACAGAGCAACGAGAACAUGACAAGUAUGGAAGACACUUCUACAACUUCGCUUAACAAGGUGGUGUGACUUCAUAACAAAGGAAAAUGAGAAGAAAACGAUGACAUUGGAGUUAAAAUUAUGGGGAAAAAUAAUAGGUAAAUGAGAAAACAAAAUUGGAAAGAUAAUGACGAUGCAAAAAGUGUAAAGGAAAUAGGGUUGUGCAACGCUAUAAUGUGUAAGGAAAGAAGAAAACUGAAAAACACAUUUUUUAGUUCACUUAAAAAUACCUUUUAUGAAGAUUAAUCUACAGUUAUUUUUAAUAUACCGAUAUGAUUUCUAAAGAAAGCAUGGUAUUAUUAAUUUCUCAAGCUAGCACAGGUUUUAGUACACCAGUUAUAAAAUAA